GGAGAGAUGUCCGAGCGGUUGAAGGAGCACGCCUGGAAAGCGUGUGUACGUUUAUAGCGUACCGAGGGUUCGAAUCCCUCUCUCUCCGCCA
This 91-nucleotide transfer RNA is filed under the name Geobacter sp. RNAcentral's name for it is "tRNA-Ser". It matches the Rfam family "tRNA". Rfam says of the family: Transfer RNA (tRNA) molecules are approximately 80 nucleotides in length. Their secondary structure includes four short double-helical elements and three loops (D, anti-codon, and T loops). Further hydrogen bonds mediate the characteristic L-shaped molecular structure. tRNAs have two regions of fundamental functional importance: the anti-codon, which is responsible for specific mRNA codon recognition, and the 3' end, to which the tRNAs corresponding amino acid is attached (by aminoacyl-tRNA synthetases). tRNAs cope with the degeneracy of the genetic code in two manners: having more than one tRNA (with a specific anti-codon) for a particular amino acid; and 'wobble' base-pairing, i.e. permitting non-standard base-pairing at the 3rd anti-codon position. Lineage: Bacteria; Pseudomonadati; Thermodesulfobacteriota; Desulfuromonadia; Geobacterales; Geobacteraceae. RNAcentral also lists the same sequence under 3 other names. The record is from RNAcentral.